UCGGGAAUUUUGGGCAAUGGGCGAAAGCCUGACCCAGCAACGCCGCGUGAAGGAUGAAGUAUUUCGGUAUGUAAACUUCGAAAGAAUAGGAAGAAUAAAUGACGGUACUAUUUAUAAGCCCCGGCUAACUUCGUGCCAGCAGCCGCGGUAAUACGAAGGGGGCUAGCGUUGUUCGGAAUUACUGGGCGUAAAGCGCACGUAGGCGGAUGUGCCAGUCAGGGGUGAAAUCCCGAGGCUCAACCUCGGAACUGCCUCCGAUACAGCACGUCUCGAGUCCGGAAGAGGUGAGUGGAAUUCCUAGUGUAGAGGUGAAAUUCGUAGAUAUUAGGAAGAACACCAGUGGCGAAGGCGGCUCACUGGUCCGGUACUGACGCUGAGGUGCGAAAGCGUGGGGAGCAAACAGGAUUAGAUACCCGGGUAGUCCCUGAGCGGGCUGGCAAGGCGCAU
This 447-nucleotide ribosomal RNA is filed under the name uncultured bacterium. RNAcentral describes it as "bacterial SSU rRNA". It matches the Rfam family "Bacterial small subunit ribosomal RNA", at positions 355 to 825 of the family's 1533-position model. The record is from RNAcentral.